CUCUCGAGUGCGUCAGGCAUAGCUUUAUGCACGAAGACAGCGAAUUCAUGACCAGAGUUUAUGUAACCGAAAGGCAUACGGGUCCAGGUAUACUGCUGCUUUCCAAAUGUGAAGACCAAUUUGUAUUGGUCUUCAUCAUGGACUGGUACAGUCCAAUAUCCUUGCGCACAGUCAAUGGCAGUGAAUAUUUUGGAUCCCUGCAUUUGUACCAAACAUUGGUCUAUGUAUGGCACUGGCCAACCAGAC
Non-coding RNA from Pelobates cultripes (western spadefoot toad), 246 nucleotides. Lineage: Eukaryota; Metazoa; Chordata; Amphibia; Anura; Pelobatidae. The record is from the annotation of a GenBank genome assembly.